Lingula anatina is the source of this 46-nucleotide non-coding RNA. The record is from Rfam. NCBI's taxonomy places the organism in Eukaryota, Metazoa, Brachiopoda, Lingulata, Lingulida, Lingulidae.
AAAAUGGCCCUUUUCAGGGCCAACCAACUUUAACAGGAAAAUCUAA